GGCCUCGCGCGAUUGGAGCGGCUGAUGUCGGAUUAGCUAGUUGGUGGGGUAAAGGCCUACCAAGGCGACNAUCCGUAGCUGGUCUGAGAGGAUGAUCAGCCACACUGGGACUGAGACACGGCCCAGACUCCUACGGGAGGCAGCAGUGGGGAAUUUUGGACAAUGGGCGCAAGCCUGAUCCAGCCAUGCCGCGUGAGUGAAGAAGGCCUUCGGGUUGUAAAGCUCUUUCAGACGGAAAGAAAUCGGGCGCGUGAAUAGCGUGCCUGGAUGACGGUACUGUCAGAAGAAGCACCGGCUAACUACGUG
Molecule: ribosomal RNA, 306 nt
Filed under: uncultured bacterium
Lineage: Bacteria
Description: bacterial SSU rRNA
Rfam family: Bacterial small subunit ribosomal RNA
Source: RNAcentral